ACAGAAGCAGGCAAGGACAGCUGACCUCCAGAGGUCCUUCCAACCUAAACUUUUCUAUCAUCCUGUGUGUACAGGGAGGCCCAGUAUUGACUCGGAACAUAUACUGCAGGUGUCUGAACUAUAAGACCCAUUUUUCUGAUCUUCUUUUUCCUAAAGUUAGUGAAUAUGACAAAAGAACAUCUCUGCAGAAUUAACCUAUAUACGCUUCAUUCCCUGUGCUUCCCUCUGAGAGAAAUAAGUAGCUAGAGAGGAAUUCUCUCUUCUCAUCUGAGUCAUGCAACUCUUCGUUCCAAAACUCCAGGCAGUAAUUAGGUCUGAUUUGAUGCAUGAUCUCACUGUUGGUGCUGGAUGCUCAGUACAAACACUUCUCCUUCAGUGAACUAUCAAUGACAAUGGCAUCAUCAAUAUUCACUCAGGGCAUCCUCCAAGGAAAGCUAAUGAAGCACUCUUCAUUAUGUCCAACUUAUGUCCUUUGUCUUCUCACGAGGAAGACUCAGCCUCCUAGAGCAAUCAUGAAGUACGUCAUGUAGAAGUUUGGCAACUUUCCCACAGCUUAUUGCCUUUACUCAAAUUUGAAGUUGUCACUUGCAGUCUUUCCUCUACUGAAAUGUCAAAGGCAUUUUCCUCAGGGGACAAUGCACACGUCAUCAUGCACAGCAAAGAAACAGCUCAUCCUAAACAAAGAGUGGCAAUUGCAAACCUGAACUUUCCAUCUCAUGACAACGGAAUUACUGUACUGAAAAUAGCCUGCAGGGAGACCCAGUGGAUCAAAGGAAGGACCUAACCGUAACUCGGGCACUUGCUGUCAACUUCCUUUUUCCAAGAUGCUCUUUUUUCCCACUAUGUGAAAAAGGAAUGACUGGAAGAAGAAGCAAGGUGGCUAGUACUGUCACAACACAGCAAGGUGGCUAGUACUGUCACAACACAGAAAUAGAUAUGCAAUCGGAGCAUCUGAAGGAGGAAGAGAUCUCGAAGCAGAAGGAGGUGUCUGAGGAGCUCACACUGAGCAAGAUGCACUUGCUGCAGUGACAGAGUGUUAUCCAGUCACAGCUGAUGGCCUCUUUGAUUACAUGGAUGAGACUCCCAUUAAACCUCCCUUUGCUCCACCAAACUUCAGCCUGAAAAGCUAGGGUGGAAGAAAGAAGCCAGAGCAAACAAGCAAGGAUGAAAGCGGCAGCUGCAGGCAUCAUCUUCCUGAAUUGACUGUUCAAGUGUGGUAUGCACUAAUGGAAAAGAGCAAAUGUUCACAUUCUGUUGAAUUCAUCCAGCCAUCUUAUUCCACCCUUCAGUCACAACUGCAGGACGUCAGCAGGAUCUUAAAUUGUUCCUCUACAAAGAUAUUUCUGAUACGUUAACUUAUCAUACUUUGUUUUCCCCAAUGCACAAGGGGCUGCCAGCGCUUUCUUUGCCACAGGGAUGAAAGGAAGAGUGAACAACGUGGAAUUGUUAGAUUUUUGGAGUAAUGCUAUUUUCUCCUAUAAUCAGAAUCACACUAGAGGAUCAAGCCUUUAUCCCUAGGAAAGAAAAAACUGGUGUUUUUCCUAGUUGCCUGUUCAAAGGUUGACUUUACAUUACCACUUUUUUUAAUAAAAUACCAGGUAAGAUUUAACUGUGUGCUAUAGAAGAACAGGUACACGCUUAUUCAGAUACUGUUUAUAAGAUGAGUCUUAAGAUUCUGUGGCUAAAAUGUUUGGCUUUCAGAUAAUUAGGAUAAUUAAUCUGCUUUUGCUAACUAACAACCCUGUACUUGAGGAGUACAUAUCAAAGGGUAUAUAAUCAAACAAAUGAACAAUAUACAAAGUACAUUGGCAGCAUAUAUAGAGAGAAGUAAUGACGGAUGCAUUUAAAAAGCUGAGAAGUGGAGACAUGAAAAAAAGCAUUCAUUUUGUUGGGAUUUCAUAUUUUGAGUUUUCAGUUAUCUUAGUUUGUUUCCUCUAGUCUGUAGGGAAGGUAUAAAUGCUGUCUGGAGAAAAUCAGUGUUAUAAUGAGAUUGGAAAGCACUGAAACAUGACAAACUGUGUCAAGGGUACACUUCCAGGAAGAGCAAGGACUGUAUACUCUUCCCACGGGAAAAGAAGUGAGGAGACCUGAUAAUCUUUUAAUACAACAGAAGAAUGGUGAAAGGAUGUAAAAGUGUCUCUAAGGCAAUAAUUUAAAAUAAUGGAAUACUUAUUUUAGGUAAAUAAAAAUUGCACACACCCAAUGAAUAGUCAUUAAAGCCCUGGAAUUGGAUGUAUUAGCAUGUUAUGUCUAGAAUUCCACUGCAUUUAUUGGGGGAAUUCAAAAUCAAAAUGAAAGAAGUACAAAACAAAUUUCUUUGAUCAUGCCUUUCUGGAGAAACCUGCAUCCAAGUGCAUUCAAGUGCCAAGUACAGAAAUGGUAGUACUUCUUAGGAAGGGUGAGGGAAGAAUAUCCACAGAGAGUCACAGAUGAUGCUAAACUUAUCUGAGAGAAGGCUGUGAAUGCUCAGCAUUUGAUCUGUUCCCACACAUGGAACUACCCCGAGGGCAGCUGACAAACGUUCAGCCCUAGCUUACACCACAGUAAAUAGGUUGGGUAGCCAACCUCAACAGUAAAUCUCAGAAAGCUAUUUCCUGGGGACAGUAGUCUCCUGUGUAAUUUCAUGUUGCAGUGUUUGCUGCAAA
Struthio camelus australis is the source of this 2645-nucleotide non-coding RNA. NCBI's taxonomy places the organism in Eukaryota, Metazoa, Chordata, Aves, Struthioniformes, Struthionidae. The record is from RefSeq and is a predicted model, not a curated record.